CCCCGCAGGACCCCGGCUGCCUCUGCCCGGGAUCCUUAGGUCACUUCCAUCCAUUGUCCGGGCUGCGGCUCCCCGGGUUAAUCUCCCACUGAUGACCGCGGGCAUCUGCUUCCAGCUUCAAGUCCGUGUCAGCUGCAGAUCCUCUCGGGGUUUCCUCGGCCCCUUCCGCCCAUAACUGCCCACGCGGCCUCGGAGGCCCUUGUGAAAUGGGGGGUGGCAGGGCCAGCCCUGCCCUCCCCCUAGGCCAGGGGCGGAGCCUCCGGAAGAACAAGGCCCAGGGGCCUCCUGUGCCCCUCUGAUGCCCCAGGACCCCCCUCCACCCCCAGCUUCCAGUCACUUCACAACAACUGCGACCUGACCCCCGUGGCCACUCAUUCAUCGUGCAAACGCGGAGGGCCCGGGCUCUGCCGUCCUCUCUCCCACAGAGAACUCUGUCGCUUCUCCCCUUCCCUGCACUGAAAUCUGGGAGAGGCCAAGAGAUCCCCAAACAACGCAGCCUAGAGAACAGAGUGCCUUUCUCUCCCAGGGAGCAGUUCUGCACGCCCAUCACUCAGACACCCGGCUCCCUCCAGGACGGGGCUCUGCCACCCGGGGAGGCUGUGUCGCCAUCCCCAGGGGUUGUCGCUCAGCCAGCGAGGAGGUGCAGCUGCGAUCCACUGGCUGCCACGGAUCUGGGAGAGGAACGCAAGAUGCAGCGGCCGCGGCCAUGCCGAGCCCAGCUGCCCACCAGCAUUACGGCAGGACCCACGUGAGUGUGACGGAGAAGACAGGGAUGGCAUGGGGGGGGGGUGAGGACGACGCGUUUGCUCUGGACGCCUUUCCCAAGGCACUGAGGAAGGCUGCUGCCGGCCAUCUCCUCGGCCUGAACACACCAGGGGUACCAGGACUUCCCACGCAACCGUGCAUACGCGCCAGGGCAGAGCCCCGGCCCCCGCUUACGUCACGCGCCUGGAAUCUGAGGGGCUGGAGGGGCAACCGAUUUGUUUCCUGUAACAUCAGGAAUCUUCUUUAAUGUGGCUGGGGAAUCAAGGCUGUCGGCUUACUUCACUUCUACUCUAAAAACUAACUUUCCAUUAUCAACCCGUGUGAAUCCAAUGUGCAGUUUUUGCUUUUUUUCUUUUUUUAAGAACAAAACAAAGGGUGGAAAAGCAAAAACUCUGCUUUUUUUUUUCCUUCAAGAGGGAACUAUGUAAGAAUACAUAAAAGGCAAAAUUGGCUACUUGAAAUCCAAGAAUGGUUUUAAUGUGUUGGCCGAAAAAAAUAAACUGCAAAGUUCUGUGAGGUCUUCUAAAAAU
RNAcentral lists this long non-coding RNA (1295 nucleotides) under Oryctolagus cuniculus (rabbit). Its description in RNAcentral is "lncRNA (ENSOCUG00000030401.1)". Lineage: Eukaryota; Metazoa; Chordata; Mammalia; Lagomorpha; Leporidae. The record is from RNAcentral.